Long non-coding RNA from Bubalus bubalis (water buffalo), 1030 nucleotides. RefSeq lists it as uncharacterized. The record is from RefSeq and is a predicted model, not a curated record. The transcript is spliced from 2 exons. Lineage: Eukaryota; Metazoa; Chordata; Mammalia; Artiodactyla; Bovidae.
GGCUAACCCAAGGUUGAGAAAACCGUUAAAAUUACAACACAUUGGCGGCAGCUGCUGAACAAGCUUCAGAGGCUCUCUGCUGACAGGCGAUCAAGUCCCACUGUGUGGGUUCUGGGUUAGUUUCCUUUUCUCUGAGGCAGUUUCUGAAUCUUCCUUAAAGUGAAACAGCCCAAAGCAAAGCCAUCUGCAUACUCAAAACUGACAAGUGACUUGAAUUUUGUUACAUCAUCAGAGAUUGCGUAAUGAACCCCAGAAAGCAAAAAUAGCAAUGAAGUUGAUGCAACAAGUGAAAAGGAAACUAAAUGCAAGCUGCCAAACGGGAUUUCAGGAUCCAGCCUGGGAAUCCCCUCUGGCCUGGCCUCCUGGCUGAGUUGAGUGCACAGAGCAGAGGAUCGUCCUGACUGCCUGCCAGACACCUGUGUCUUCCUGGCUGAAACUCUGAGCUCCUAAAGUCCAGGGAAAACAAAGAAUCCAGUGAGGGUAGGGUCACGUGUCCAGGUCCUCCAGCUGCUGAUCAAGUCCCACAAGGAAUCAGGAGGCUCUCGUCCAGACCUGCAGAAGGCCCGUGGUGCUGAAGAGCUGGAAGGUCUGCUGGAGCAACUCGUGCACAACAGCUAUGGCUUCUGUCUUCUCAAGCCUGGUCCCGUGCACCAGGGUCUGAGGCUAUCUGAAGUCAGUCCUGUCCCUCAGACAGGACACAACGGGCACUCUCUCCAUCUGACUCCAACGUGUGAAGCUUUCCAGAUUGCCGUGGCGGCUCGCAGGCAGCUCACAGCCCAGGGAGCACAUGGGGCUGGAACAGAGCAUCACCAGGGCCAGCAGCACAGGGACGGGGAGGGCCACUGGGACGCUGGGGGCUCGCAGGACUGCCUGCAGGGGAGGUCUAGGCAAGGUCUGAGGGCUUGGGGUGAUGGGUGGCUCUUAAAGAGUGAGUAGAGAAACUUUCAUUUUCUGGGUUUUCCACAGUUUGCCCUUUCCUUUCUUUUUCUACUCUUUGUAAUGAAAUCAAUAAAAGUGCUAAUUUUUGCCA